GCCAGCAGCUAUAUCACCCUGCAACUCACAACUGACAACCCACUGAAGUUAAGCGGGUGUGAGCCUGAUCAGUACCUGGAUGGGAGAUCUCCUGGGAAAAACUAAGGUUGCUGCUGGAA
Molecule: ribosomal RNA, 119 nt
Filed under: Lepisosteus oculatus (spotted gar)
Lineage: Eukaryota; Metazoa; Chordata; Actinopteri; Semionotiformes; Lepisosteidae
Source: RNAcentral